UGUAAUAACUCCCACGCCAUUUUAGUUUCAUUAUAUAAACAUCACCGGUGUCGUCAUCUUGAGCAUUGAUGGGUACUUGCUCUCGGUUGAGUAAAUGUUCACACUCGGAUUGUGUCAAAUGCACAAGGAUGUAAGUCUCGACAGGCUGGCGGGGUAGAGUGAGAAAGGGGUGAGUAAUGUCGACAUCCGAAAGUGAAAAUUACCUAAAAUUUGUGUGGUACAGAAAAACCCUAGAGAGAGAAAGGAUACAUAGUUGAGAAAUUGGGGGGAAUUGUUUGUAGGUGUAAAGGUAUAGAAAGAAGAUGAUAACUGUUAAUGGUGAUUAGAGG
This 329-nucleotide long non-coding RNA is filed under the name Helianthus annuus (common sunflower). Its description in RNAcentral is "sRNA HanXRQr2_Chr10g0442131". Lineage: Eukaryota; Viridiplantae; Streptophyta; Magnoliopsida; Asterales; Asteraceae. The record is from RNAcentral.